RNAcentral lists this ribosomal RNA (415 nucleotides) under Fusarium sp. Its description in RNAcentral is "partial large subunit ribosomal RNA". It matches the Rfam family "Eukaryotic large subunit ribosomal RNA", at positions 163 to 587 of the family's 3401-position model. The record is from RNAcentral. Lineage: Eukaryota; Fungi; Ascomycota; Sordariomycetes; Hypocreales; Nectriaceae.
UUUUGGUGAGGUGCCUUCCGAGUUCCCUGGAACGGGACGCCUAGAGGGUGAGAGCCCCGUCUGGUUGGACACCGAUCCUCUGUAAAGCUCCUUCGACGAGUCGAGUAGUUUGGGAAUGCUGCUCUAAAUGGGAGGUAUAUGUCUUCUAAAGCUAAAUACCGGCCAGAGACCGAUAGCGCACAAGUAGAGUGAUCGAAAGAUGAAAAGAACUUUGAAAAGAGAGUUAAACAGUACGUGAAAUUGUUGAAAGGGAAGCGCUUGUGACCAGACUUGGGCUUGGUUGAUCAUCCCGGGUUCUCCCCGGUGCACUCUUCCGGCUCAGGCCAGCAUCAUUUCGCCCUGGGGGAUAAAGGCUUCGGGAAUGUGGCUCUCUCCGGGGAGUGUUAUAGCCCGCUGCGUAAUACCCUGUGGCGGA